GUCUCACAUGCAAAUAACCACACAUGGAUAUACACACUCAUACUUAGAACAGAAUCUAAAAGUCAUAUCAUGACUAUACUAUGGCUGAGAGCAAAAUGCACAUGAAGUUUUAGGGUGAGGCAUUCGAGCUCAUGGUUUACUUCUCUGACCCACAUCUUUCAGACAGAAGUUGGACAAACCUUGCUCAUUCUUUUUGCCAGCUAUGGAACCUCCAUAGUUAAGAAAGCGUUUGAAGGGACACAGACCACAAAGCCCUCUGAGUGCUGGCCCACAAUGUGAGCCGAAGCAAAAUACAUGAAACAAUAAAUCAGAGAGCUAUGCAUAAGUGAGGCUUGUGAGAAUGGGAGAUGGCCUCCGGGUCUGGGAGAUCUCAGGGCAGGCAAUGCCUACCAGGCCAGAGCCAUGGAACAGCAAUGCAGAGGGGAUCUCGGGAAGACAAUGAAAUCUGGCUGAUGGCUCAGCGAGGAAACAAAAUCCAAAACAAUGGAGGAAGCGAAGAAAGGCUCAGAGGGCACCGAUGCUGGAGGCAGAGGGGAGAGAAAUGGAGAGGGGCUGGCCGAAGGAUGUUCCAGAUGGCAGGUGACCCCUUGAGAAGCAAUGAUUCCAGGGAAAGGUGGCAGUGUGGUACAGCAAGUCCAAAUAACAGGACGCUUUGUAGUGGAAAGUGUAGUCAAGAUGAAAGACUACUUACUUAUUAUCUAUCUACGUGCUUUUGAGGAGAGAUCACUGUCCUUGCAUCUAAGGACAGCUUCUUGCUGAUCUUCAAAAGCAAAUACUCAUUUGCAGAGUCUGUUACAUACAACACUAAAAGCACAUCCUGCUGAUGAACAGUCUGAAUCACUACAGUGACCUGUGCAGUGGCAAUACAAGGGUCAAUUCCAGGCUACACCCCCAGGACCUUCUCAACACGGAGGCACAGAAUCCAGAAAACCUGAAGUAUCGACAGUAAGAGCUGACGCGACCACGGGGCUGCACAGUGUACCACCACGUCUUAUGCAACUGGAUUGACUUGGAUGAUGCUCAUGGGUGAUGCCAUUUCCUGCCUUGUGUGAAGAUGAAGAAACCAGGUCACAGUUAUUAUGUAACUUACUGGUGGUGUUUAGAUCCUCAGUGUCCCUCAAAGGUCCCAGGCCAGGGCACUGUUGAGAGGUGUGAGGAAAUUAGGUUGCUGAGUGAGGAGGUCCAGGAAACGUGAGCCCAUUUCCCUGUCAACCAAAGGUCAGAGAGCCGGGACUUCCUCUAGUUUCUUCAAGGUUAUCGUGUUUCCGCCUCAAACAAAGAUCCUACCUAGAGUUAGAGCGGAGAGUUCCGUUCUCUCAAGGUUAUUGUCAUUAGGGGCGGCUCAUAGCCAGCCUUUGUGCUUCAGGAAUAGAGAAGUAGAUGUGUUCUUACCUCAAACAAAAAGUCUAAGGAUCCCACUAAGUUCCAGUUCCCUUAAGGAGAUAACUCUGGAUUCCACCCAGAGAGUGGUUUGCCUACUGUUUUGGUCUAGGGUGUGAGCGUGACUUAUUUUGUUCUAACAACAGACCGUUUAACUAUGGUGGCCCGCGACCUUCAAUUGGUAUGUUCAGUUCCUUGUUUCAUGGUAAGUUAACGCAGUUUUUUGUCUUACUCCUACCUUUUGGAGUCAGGGGUAUUUUAAGCAGUUAGAAAUUAAGUAAGGGUGAAUUUCAGUACUCACUAGAGUUCCCUCCUGAUGCUAUCCUAUAUUUUUCUCUGUUUUAUUAUUUUCAUUCCUGUCUUUAUAUUCUUCGCUAUAUUUCUAAAUCCCCACACCUCUACCCUGGCAAGAAGUAUUUUUGUCAGGACUGGUCCCCAACAACUGAGGCAUGCUGUUUAAGGGCAUAACGAGGGGCUCCCUCCGUCCCCUCUCCUGGCAAUGAGGUGAGUGGUUUUGCUCUGCCACCCUCUUUCCUCUGCUUAGUCUUCACACUGCAGCCACACUAUCCUGACUCACCAGGAGCUCAGAAGCAAAAGCUGGGGCUGGUGAGAUCAAUAAGUGUUUGUCAUGUGAGCGCGAGGACCCAAGUUCAAUCCCCAGAACCCAAGUUUAGCACCCAAGUUUAAAAAGAAAGAUGGACAUUUAGUAGCUUAAUAUCUAAUACGGCAUUGAUGCCAGGGGACAGGAAGAGCCUGAGGCUUGCCCAGUCUAGCCGAAUCAGUGAGCUCCUGAUUCACUGAAAAACCCUGUCUCCAAAAAUAAGGUGGGAAGCAAUUAAGGAAGAGACACACACACACAACAUACACACAAUACACACACAUACCUACAUACAUGCAGACACAUGCACAUACCCCAGACCUGACCAACCAAUCACGAACUGAAGCAAGCAAACAAAAUAAACCUAGGAGCCAAAAAAAGGCCUUUUUGUCUGUGUAAACUGGUUAUUUUAGAUGUCACAGGGCUGGAAACCUGAAUUCACGGUUUCAGUGGCUGAGUUCAGCUGGGCUAUGUUUGUCUGUCACAGAGCUGCCUAGCUGUUCUGCCUUCUGCUGCAAGCCCAGUCUGCUGCCUGGCUUCCAUCUUGAGAGCAUCACUAGUUAGUAGGCCGUGCCCACGAAUGAGAGCUGUGCAGCAGUCUAGUCUUUAAACAACGGGGGGGGGGGGGAA
This is a long non-coding RNA of Alexandromys fortis (reed vole), 2608 nucleotides long. RefSeq lists it as uncharacterized. Lineage: Eukaryota; Metazoa; Chordata; Mammalia; Rodentia; Cricetidae. The record is from RefSeq and is a predicted model, not a curated record. The transcript has 3 exons.